Molecule: ribosomal RNA, 170 nt
Filed under: Citrobacter sp. On28M
Lineage: Bacteria; Pseudomonadati; Pseudomonadota; Gammaproteobacteria; Enterobacterales; Enterobacteriaceae
Description: partial 16S ribosomal RNA
Rfam family: Bacterial small subunit ribosomal RNA
Source: RNAcentral
AAAUUGAAGAGUUUGAUCAUGGCUCAGAUUGAACGCUGGCGGCAGGCCUAACACAUGCAAGUCGAACGGUAGCACAGAGGAGCUUGCUCCUUGGGUGACGAGUGGCGGACGGGUGAGUAAUGUCUGGGAAACUGCCCGAUGGAGGGGGAUAACUACUGGAAACGGUAGCU